This 74-nucleotide transfer RNA is filed under the name Cordylochernes scorpioides. RNAcentral describes it as "tRNA-Glu". Lineage: Eukaryota; Metazoa; Arthropoda; Arachnida; Pseudoscorpiones; Chernetidae. The record is from RNAcentral.
UGUUCAAUGCGGGAAUCGAACCCGGGUCGUAGUGGUCGAAAACCAAACGGUUUAACCAGCCUUCCACCGAACCC